GAUGAGUGUAGGUCUGGUGCACA
RNAcentral lists this microRNA (23 nucleotides) under Blattella germanica (German cockroach). Lineage: Eukaryota; Metazoa; Arthropoda; Insecta; Blattodea; Blattellidae. The record is from RNAcentral.